ACGAACGCUGGCGGCAUGCCUAACACAUGCAAGUCGAACGAGACCUUCGGGUCUAGUGGCGCACGGGUGCGUAACGCGUGGGAACCUGCCCUUAGGUUCGGAAUAACUCCCCGAAAGGGGUGCUAAUACCGGAUAAUGUCUUCGGACCAAAGAUUUAUCGCCUUUGGAUGGGCCCGCGUUGGAUUAGCUUGUUGGUAGGGUAAAAGCCUACCAAGGCGACGAUCCAUAGCUGGUCUGAGAGGAUGAUCAGCCACACUGGGACUGAGACACGGCCCAGACUCCUACGGGAGGCAGCAGUGGGGAAUAUUGGACAAUGGGCGAAAGCCUGAUCCAGCAAUGCCGCGUGAGUGAUGAAGGCCUUAGGGUUGUAAAGCUCUUUUACCCGGGAUGAUAAUGACAGUACCGGGAGAAUAAGCUCCGGCUAACUCCGUG
This 432-nucleotide ribosomal RNA is filed under the name uncultured bacterium. RNAcentral describes it as "partial 16S ribosomal RNA". It matches the Rfam family "Bacterial small subunit ribosomal RNA", at positions 29 to 507 of the family's 1533-position model. The record is from RNAcentral.